RNAcentral lists this ribosomal RNA (372 nucleotides) under uncultured organism. Its description in RNAcentral is "bacterial SSU rRNA". It matches the Rfam family "Bacterial small subunit ribosomal RNA", at positions 526 to 896 of the family's 1533-position model. The record is from RNAcentral.
CGGGGGGGGCAAGCGUUGUUCGGAAUUACUGGGCGUAAAGGGCUCGUAGGCGGCCACCUAAGUCAGACGUGAAAUCCCUCGGCUUAACCGGGGAACUGCGUCUGAUACUGGAUGGCUUGAGUUUGGGAGAGGGAUGCGGAAUUCCAGGUGUAGCGGUGAAAUGCGUAGAUAUCUGGAGGAACACCGGUGGCGAAGGCGGCAUCCUGGACCAACACUGACGCUGAGGAGCGAAAGCCAGGGGAGCAAACGGGAUUAGAUACCCCGGUAGUCCUGGCCCUAAACGAUGAAUGCUUGGUGUGACGGGUAUCGAUCCCUGUCGUGCCGAAGCUAACGCAUUAAGCAUUCCGCCUGGGGAGUACGGUCGCAAGGCUG